GCGGUCGUGGCGGAACUGGCAGACGCGCUAGCUUGAGGGGCUAGUGACCGUUUUAGGUCGUGGUGGUUCGAGUCCACUCGGCCGCA
This 86-nucleotide transfer RNA is filed under the name Planctomycetaceae bacterium. RNAcentral's name for it is "tRNA-Leu". It matches the Rfam family "tRNA". From Rfam's summary of the family: Transfer RNA (tRNA) molecules are approximately 80 nucleotides in length. Their secondary structure includes four short double-helical elements and three loops (D, anti-codon, and T loops). RNAcentral also lists the same sequence under 1 other name. The record is from RNAcentral. Lineage: Bacteria; Pseudomonadati; Planctomycetota; Planctomycetia; Planctomycetales; Planctomycetaceae.